RNAcentral lists this ribosomal RNA (323 nucleotides) under uncultured bacterium. RNAcentral describes it as "bacterial SSU rRNA". It matches the Rfam family "Bacterial small subunit ribosomal RNA", at positions 28 to 334 of the family's 1533-position model. The record is from RNAcentral.
GAUGAACGCUGGCGGCGUGCUUAACACAUGCAAGUCGAACGAGAAUCAACGGAUUGAGGAUUCGUCCAAAUGAAGUUGAGGAAAGUGGCGGACGGGUGAGUAACGCGUGAGGAACCUGCCUCGGAGUGGGGAAUAACAGUUGGAAACAGCUGCUAAUACCGCAUAAUGCAACGGAAUCGCAUGACUCUGUUGCCAAAGAUUUAUCGCUCUGAGAUGGCCUCGCGUCUGAUUAGUUAGUUGGUAGGGUAACGGCCUACCAAGACGAUGAUCAGUAGCCGGACUGAGAGGUUGAACGGCCACAUUGGGACUGAGAUACGGCCCAG